AAAUAUGCUCUAUUCUGGAUCAUCUGUGGGCAAUAAGUUCCUUUGUAAAAGCAAUUAUCAAACUAUUUAUGUCAGCUUUACGUUGGCGCUGUGUUCUGUAAGUACAAAGAAAAAUAUUUCAAUUUAAAUUAUGAGCUAUUGGUGACGGUUUGUGGAAGUAAUUUUUCACUUCUGUGGCAAUGUUUACAUCCGUAUUCUAGCAAUGAGCUGUAUAGUCUGAUCAUAACUCCUCCUCAGUUGCAUGGAAGAAGACUGUUUGCCUCUACGAAAACAACUGAUAGAGCUAUUCAUUACAUGUAAAUGGAAUAACUGAUUUAUGAGUCAAUUAAGUUGAUUGAUCAGUAUUUUAUUUUGAAAAUUUCAAACAUUGAACUUUACAUGAUAAUGAGGUGAACUGAAGUCUAUAAAAAGUUCUGCGUUUGAAACAAACCUAAGCUGACAUAUAGUAUUAUCUUCUAAUCAGUGGAGUUGCGUAAGGCAUGCCUUGCAUUUAGACGAUUACCAGGUUCUAUAUAGGUUUACCAGUAUAUAUGUUUGAUAUAUGAUUCAUAUGUAUACAGUAUAGACAAACACUGAAUCGCGUAUUGGUUAGGAUCAUGAAUUCAUAAUUUUUAAAUUGGGGGGGGGGGGGGGGG
Molecule: non-coding RNA, 635 nt
Organism: Paramuricea clavata
Lineage: Eukaryota; Metazoa; Cnidaria; Anthozoa; Malacalcyonacea; Plexauridae
Source: the annotation of a GenBank genome assembly